ACACGCUGGCGGCAGGCCUAACACAUGCAAGUCGAGCGCCCCGCAAGGGGAGCGGCGGACGGGUGAGUAACGCGUGGGAACGUGCCUCUUGCUACGGAAUAGCCUCGGGAAACUGGGAGUAAUACCGUAUGUGCCCUACGGGGGAAAGAUUUAUCGGCAAGAGAUCGGCCCGCGUUGGAUUAGGUAGUUGGUGGGGUAAUGGCCUACCAAGCCGACGAUCCAUAGCUGGUUUGAGAGGAUGAUCAGCCACACUGGGACUGAGACACGGCCCAGACUCCUACGGGAGGCAGCAGUGGGGAAUCUUAGACAAUGGGCGCAAGCCUGAUCUAGCCAUGCCGCGUGAGCGAUGAAGGCCUUAGGGUUGUAAAGCUCUUUCAGUGGGGAAGAUAAUGACUGUACCCACAGAAGAAGCCCCGGCUAACUCCGUG
RNAcentral lists this ribosomal RNA (428 nucleotides) under uncultured bacterium. RNAcentral describes it as "bacterial SSU rRNA". It matches the Rfam family "Bacterial small subunit ribosomal RNA", at positions 33 to 507 of the family's 1533-position model. The record is from RNAcentral.